This 363-nucleotide ribosomal RNA is filed under the name uncultured Bicosoecida. Its description in RNAcentral is "SSU rRNA". It matches the Rfam family "Eukaryotic small subunit ribosomal RNA", at positions 585 to 972 of the family's 1831-position model. The record is from RNAcentral. Lineage: Eukaryota; Bigyra; Bicosoecida.
CCAGCUCCAAUAGCGUAUAUUAAAGUUGUUGCAGUUAAAAAGCUCGUAGUUGAAUUUCUGAUAUACUCAUUGUGUCCGCUUCGGUGUGAUGCAGUGGGUGUAUCAUCCUUGUGGGGACGGCAUGUUCGCAUGUCUACCCGCAUUCUUUACUGUGAGAAAAUUAGAGUGUUUAAAGCAGGCUUCAGGCUUGAAUACAUUAGCAUGGGAUAAUAAGAUAGGACUUCGGUGCUAUUUUGUUGGUUGCGUACCGAGGUAAUGAUUAAUAGGGACAGUUGGGGGUAUUCAUAUUUAGCUGUCAGAGGUGAAAUUCUUGGAUUUGCUAAAGAUGAACAACUGCGAAAGCAUUUACCAAGGAUGUUUUCA